This 433-nucleotide ribosomal RNA is filed under the name uncultured bacterium. Its description in RNAcentral is "partial 16S ribosomal RNA". It matches the Rfam family "Bacterial small subunit ribosomal RNA", at positions 29 to 507 of the family's 1533-position model. The record is from RNAcentral.
AACGAACGCUGGCGGCAUGCCUAACACAUGCAAGUCGAACGAGACCUUCGGGUCUAGUGGCGCACGGGUGCGUAACGCGUGGGAACCUGCCCUUAGGUUCGGAAUAACUCCCCGAAAGGGGUGCUAAUACCGGAUAAUGUCUUCGGACCAAAGAUUUCUCGCCUUUGGAUGGGCCCGCGUUGGAUUAGCUAGUUGGUAGGGUAAAAGCCUACCAAGGCGACGAUCCAUAGCUGGUCUGAGAGGAUGAUCAGCCACACUGGGACUGAGACACGGCCCAGACUCCUACGGGAAGCAGCAGUGGGGAAUAUUGGACAAUGGGCGAAAGCCUGAUCCAGCAAUGCCGCGUGAGUGAUGAAGGCCUUAGGGUUGUAAAGCUCUUUUACCCGGGAUGAUAAUGACAGUACCGGGAGAAUAAGCUCCGGCUAACUCCGUG